UCGUCGAACUAGAAACCUUUGGAGCGAAAAUUUCGUCCGUUUUGCUCUAUCUCUAACGAGGGGAAAUUCACUGCACGUAAUAAGUGUUCGCUGAGCACAUAAUCUGCACAUAAUCCACGUGAUCCGUUGAUAAUCCACAUAAUCCGUACAUAAUCCACGUGAUCCGUAUACAUAAUCCACGUGAUCCGCACAUAAUCCACGUGAUCCGCACAUAAUCUACGUGAUCCGUACAAAAUCUACGUGAUCUACACAUAAUCAACAUAAUCCACAUAAUCUGCACAUAAUCCACGAGAUCCCGCGUAAUCCAAAAACCUAAACUGUUUCCUUGAACACAAAAAACUGUGGUUAGAUCCUCGGACGGUUUACUGUGAGUUCCAGUGUAACUGCUGUGGCCAACACUUUUCUGCUGACUGCUGCAUAAAAUUGUAUCCGUUAUGUGUCCAAUUCAUUGGUAUAAUCUUGUACAUAUUUGCCAACAGAUUGUCCAGAAGCCAGGCGAUAUCCUAUACCUGCUGCCAUACACAAUUCACUGGGGCGUGAACACUGGAAUUAAUUUUAACGAAGCAAUGAACUUUGUGUGUAAGUCGUGGGUUCUCCAAGGCAUGCUGGCCCGUCAGAGGUGUACCUGUAUUCCUGAUUGGUCCUGCGAAUUUGAAAUCACAUCUACCCUGACACUCAUGGGAGCAGAGAAAGAGCUCAUGUCUGCCUGGAAGGCUGGCAACACCAGUGGCAUCGAUUUGGCCCCUGCGACAUUCGAAACCUCGCCUCCACCCUGGGUUCUGUUCGGCUGGAGCAGAACAACGUGGUGAACCUGCCCCAGGGUGUUGUGGCGAGAGUGCCCCAAAAUACAGAGACACGAUAAGGAUUACGAAUGGUCUGCAGUGUCCCUUCGAAACCUGCUCCAAGAAAAUCAUGUACUAUGGUGAAGGUGCGAAAACCUCUCUAAUUAACCACAUCAACGAAAUACAUAAAUCAGACGCUGCAAAUCUCUUAAUUAUAGUGGAGAGGGGUUUUCAGAAGAAAGAGACAACAUGUGGUGGCAAUAAAUUCGAGUGCUUCCACUGUGGUCAGACUCUCACUGGAGCGAGGAAACGGAAGGCGUCGCACGAAGCAACCUGUGCCAAGAAGUCGAAGAAACAAUGAGUGCCAUGGUGGAAUAUUGUUGAAAUCUGUUGAAAUCUGUGAUAGCAGAUAGGCUUCAUGUUUUUAAGUAAUGGUUCCACAUCCAUCAUUGGUUCCUGAUACAAAACCAAUGGAGUCAUUAGGUGUGAGGUGUUCAUUGUUUUUGCUCAGAUAGAAUACUGUUCCUGAAGUUCCGUCCUGUUGGAAUGUCAUCUUGAGAGAAUACGUGUCUUUGCUCCACUUCAGUCUUGUCUCCAAGAUGUCUCUGAAGUGUCUCUGCGGUGGCUGCGGGAUGGCACCGCAGUGUCCUCGCGUUGGCUCCACGGUGUCUCUGCGGUGGCUCCGCGGCGGCUCCAUGGUGACUCCGCGAUGGCUCCGCGGGUGGCUCCGCGGUAGCUCGGCGGUAGCUCCGCGGUGGCUCCGCGCGGAUUCCGCAGGGGCUUCGCACGGGCACCAGGCUCGCUUGACGAUGGCUUUAGAAUGUCUCUUUCUGGCCUUAAAGUAGCUAUCCUGUAGCCAUUUCAUGCGACAGGAGAAUGGCUCAGCAAUGGCUGGGGAUUUUUUCUCAUUUUUUUGAGAAUAUUCCUCAAAAUCUGAGGCGAGAUCGGAGGACUCUUCCUCAAAGAUUCUAGCUCCUCAAAGUUUUCCCUUUUCCCUCAAAAAAUAAGAUUUUGCUUUUACCGUGCGUGUAUCUUCCUAUGGUGUGUUCCGCAACCUUUUAAAAAUUACAUGAAAUAACGUGAUAAAGCCUGGAACGCGUGGGCUUUACUCUAACAGUAAAAAAGGACAGUUUUGUCUUCUUCCCUUUGGAGUAAGCUCCAAAGCGAGGCCUUUCCUAAUUCGACACCUCCUACGUACAAGCAGCUAUCUUCUUGAGCAGUGCAGACAUGCAGCUAUCUUCUUGAGCUGUGCAGACAAGCAGUAGGCCAUCUCAUUUUGGUAGUCGAAGUCGGCGAUUUCGGAGGUACGCACAUUUAAUGAUAGAUUAG
This is a long non-coding RNA of Frankliniella occidentalis (western flower thrips), 2111 nucleotides long. RefSeq lists it as uncharacterized. The transcript is spliced from 3 exons. The record is from RefSeq and is a predicted model, not a curated record. NCBI's taxonomy places the organism in Eukaryota, Metazoa, Arthropoda, Insecta, Thysanoptera, Thripidae.